This 518-nucleotide ribosomal RNA is filed under the name uncultured bacterium. Its description in RNAcentral is "partial 16S ribosomal RNA". The record is from RNAcentral.
AAUCGUGACUCGGGUUACCGCGGCUGCUGGCACGGAGUUAGCCGGUGCUUCUUCUGUGAGUGAUGUCCUUCCUGCCGGCUAUUAACCCGCAGGCCUUCUUCCUCACUGAAAGUGCUUUACAACCCGAAGGCCUUCUUCACACACGCGGCAUGGCUGGAUCAGGGUUGCCCCCAUUGUCCAAUAUUCCCCACUGCUGCCUCCCGUAGGAGUCUGGGCCGUGUCUCAGUCCCAGUGUGGCUGAUCAUCCUCUCAGACCAGCUACGGAUCGUCGCCUUGGUGAGCCGUUACCUCACCAACCAGCUAAUCCGACAUAGGCUCAUCCGAUAGCGCGAGGCCCGAAGGUCCCCCGCUUUCCCCCGUAGGGCGUAUGCGGUAUUAGCCUGGGUUUCCCCAGGUUACUCCCCACUACCGGGCAGAUUCCUAUGCAUUACUCACCCGUCCGCCGCUCGCCACCAGGGAGCAAGCUCCCCGUGCUGCCGCUCGACUUGCAUGUGUUAGGCCUGCCGCCAGCGUUCAAU